AGUUCCGACCUGCACGAAUGGCGUAAUGAUGGCCAGGCUGUCUCCACCCGAGACUCAGUGAAAUUGAACUCGCUGUGAAGAUGCAGUGUACCCGCGGCAAGACGGAAAGACCCCGUGAACCUUUACUAUAGCUUGACACUGAACAUUGAGCCUUGAUGUGUAGGAUAGGUGGGAGGCUUUGAAGCGUGGACGCCAGUCUGCGUGGAGCCAACCUUGAAAUACCACCCUUUAAUGUUUGAUGUUCUAACGUGGACCCGUAAUCCGGGUUGCGGACAGUGUCUGGUGGGUAGUUUGACUGGGGCGGUCUCCUCCUAAAGAGUAACGGAGGAGCACGAAGGUUGGCUAAUCCUGGUCGGACAUCAGGAGGUUAGUGCAAUGGCAUAAGCCAGCUUGACUGCGAGCGUGACGGCGCGAGCAGGUGCGAAAGCAGGUCAUAGUGAUCCGGUGGUUCUGAAUGGAAGGGCCAUCGCUCAACGGAUAAAAGGUACUCCGGGGAUAACAGGCUGAUACCGCCCAAGAGUUCAUAUCGACGGCGGUGUUUGGCACCUCGAUGUCGGCUCAUCACAUCCUGGGGCUGAAGUAGGUCCCAAGGGUAUGGCUGUUCGCCAUUUAAAGUGGUACGCGAGCUGGGUUUAGAACGUCGUGAGACAGUUCGGUCCCUAUCUGCCGUGGGCGCUGGAGAACUGAGGGGGGCUGCUCCUAGUACGAGAGGACCGGAGUGGACGCAUCACUGGUGUUCGGGUUGUCAUGCCAAUGGCACUGCCCGGUAGCUAAAUGCGGAAGAGAUAAGUGCUGAAAGCAUCUAAGCACGAAACUUGCCCCGA
RNAcentral lists this ribosomal RNA (824 nucleotides) under Salmonella enterica. RNAcentral's name for it is "partial 23S ribosomal RNA". It matches the Rfam family "Bacterial large subunit ribosomal RNA", at positions 1979 to 2802 of the family's 2925-position model. Lineage: Bacteria; Pseudomonadati; Pseudomonadota; Gammaproteobacteria; Enterobacterales; Enterobacteriaceae. The record is from RNAcentral.